RNAcentral lists this long non-coding RNA (2056 nucleotides) under Lactuca sativa (garden lettuce). RNAcentral describes it as "long non-coding RNA (LSAT_LNC006644)". Lineage: Eukaryota; Viridiplantae; Streptophyta; Magnoliopsida; Asterales; Asteraceae. The record is from RNAcentral.
UUACACAGUCAAUUUACAAUUUAAUGUAAAAAAUUCACAACUUAAUACAAACUGUUUUACAAUAAUUCACUAAUUCAAAGAAGUCGAAAAACUCAACCUCUACCACCACAUGCCGCCACCAACCACCUGUAUCAACAUAGUAGCCAUUAUUUCUUCCAAGUCAGAUCUGUAAAUAAAGUCAUGCAUUAACAACUAAUACUAUAUUUACAAUCUAAUAAAGCCUAUUAUAUAACUCGUUUUGAAUUUAAUGCAAAACAAUUAUAAAAACUAAUGGAUUCUUACAAAUUUAUACAACAAAAAAAUAAAUAUAUUCAUAAGAAAAUUAACAAAAAAAUUCAUACAUAGAACAUUCAUAUUAAACACAAAUAAUAAAAAAUUCACAGCAAAAUACAGUCAAUUCACAGUUUAAACAGAAAUUCAUAGUUUAAUGCAGUCAAUUCACAUUUUUAAAUACGAAAAUCACAAUUUAAUAUAAAAAAUUCACAGUUUAAUAUAGUUAAUUUCACAAUUCAAAUAAAUAUUCACAACUUAAUGCAGUUAAUUCAAAGUUUAAAAUACAAAAAACACAGCUUAAUAAAUAAAAUUCACAGUUUAUUACAAUAAAUUUACAGUUUAAUACAAAAAACAUAAAUUCACAACAAUAAUAUCAAUUUAAAACUCUUAAUACAGACAAUUCACAGUUUAAUAUACAAAAUUCACAGCUUAAUAUAAUAAAUUCACAAUUUACGACAAAAAAUUUAUAUUUAUAGUUAUAUUUUCAAAUUAAAACUUAUAUUUAGAUGUUAAUAUAUGAAAACAUUUAUAUGUAUUAAAUUGAAUUUAAUAUAUUAAGUCGUGAAUAAAAAUUACAAAGUAAUACAUAAUUCACAAUUUAGUAUACAAAAUUAAUCAGAUACAUUGUGUACACCAUAUAAAUUCACAGUUUAAUAGAGCUUUUCAGAACUCUUAUUCACAGUUUAAUAAUCAGUUUAGGACUCUCAUUCAUUGUAUUUAUAACAUAAAAACAUAUUAAUUCAUGCAUUCACAAUAACUAACUUAAAUAGAACUAAACAAUUAAAACAUCAUAGUUCAAAGCUUAAAAAAAUCAAAAUUCAUAUUAUUUGAGAAAACACUAACAUAAUAACACACAUUUUAAAUUCAAUUCACAGCUUAACAACAAUAAAACAUAAAGUGAAUAAAAACUUGAUACAAACAUUAUAAAAAAACAUAGUAAACAUGGAUUAACAACUUAAUAGUAGAAAAAAAACUAUGUUUAACAAAAUUAAACAACAAAUGAGAGAUUAUAACAUUAAAUUCACAACUUAAUAGAAAAAAAAAGUAUACAAAUAUCAACAUACCUGAUGUAAAUAUGGUGUUGUUUCACUAAAGAUCAGAGAAAAAAAAGAUGGAGUUGAGUUGGCGGUGCUACACCGGAGCGGCAAGGCAGUAGUUAUGGUGGCAGUUGACAUCGAUCUCAGAUCUAGACCGUCAAUCUCGUCAAAAGUCGUAGAUCUGAAGGCAUAAAUCAUAGAUUCAUAAGCGAAAAUCAUAGAUAUGCUGUUGGAAAUCAUAGAUCUAACGUCAGAGAUCAUAGAUCUAGACUGAACCGCUUCAGAUCUGAUGAAAUCAAAGGAUUUUGGAGGUUGAAGACAUACCUUUAUUGUUGGUAGAGGUGAUGGUGGACCAGAUCUGAACAGAUCUGGUGGUCUUUCAUGGAGAUCGAGAGAAAAAAAGAUGGAGGCGAAAUGAAGAUGUGUCAUCAGAGCUCACAAAUAUAAACAUUAGUGGUAGUGAAAAUCAGUGGUAAAGUAAAUAUGAUGUGGUGGUGGGGUAAAUCUAGACUUCAAAUGCAUCAAACACACCAGAUCUGAUGUAGAUCUGGUGGUGUUUCACCAAAAAAAAUAAGGAGAAAAAGAUGAUGUUGGAAUAUGGUGGUGACGAUGGCUGGAACCAAUUUCGGUCAACGGCGGUGGCACCGGUAAGUGGCGGCAAUGGUGGUAGUUGAUGAUGAUAAAUGGAGGAUUUGUGUUUGAGAUUUUGAAGGUGAAUGGGAGUGUUUGGAUGCAAGAAAAAUAAC